CCGUUACCGCAGCAACGGAUAUUCACACCAAACAAACGGACAAUAAAAAGGCGCCCGAAGGCGCCUUUUCACUUAC
This 76-nucleotide small RNA is filed under the name Pseudomonas sp. AD21. Its description in RNAcentral is "STnc130". The record is from RNAcentral. Lineage: Bacteria; Pseudomonadati; Pseudomonadota; Gammaproteobacteria; Pseudomonadales; Pseudomonadaceae.